UGGGCAUGGAUCACUGAAUGUCAACUUGAUGAAAUUCAAAGGAGCAUGCCCACCUGUAGUAAUCCUGCUUAGAAGGAGAGGAACCGCAGGUUCAAACAUUUGGUGUAUGUGCUUGGCUGAGGAGACAAUGGUGCGAAGCUACCAUCUGUGAGACUAUGACUGAACGCCUCUAAGUCAGAAUCCCCCCUAAAGGUAACGAUACCGUAGCGCAGCAGAUCUUCGGGUGGCCCGGGAUAGCCUGUCUCUUUUGGGAGAAAUGAAAGCCUCACUAUUUAAACUAGAAGAUCAGAGCAGUGAGAAUGAUCUGCGGAACAGAUGAAAAGGAAGAACAAAAAAGAAAAGCUUCAGUAAAUCAACUUCCUGCUCAACUUCUAUGAAACCCAAGAGAGUUGCAAAAGUUUACAAGAGGCAGCAAAGCAACAUCAGGAAGCCCAUCAAAGUUUCAAACAAGAACAAGAAUCCCUGUUAGAGUCUGUAAAGUGCCGAACAGCUCAAUAAAGACUUUGAAGAUAUCAAAACAAAAUCCAUACAGUCACUAGAUAAAACAAAGUUGUGGAGACCAGAACAUCAGAACUCACCACAGAGUUUAAGGGGAAACAUGCUGAAAUUCACUAAUUCAAGAAUAAAGUCUGCUGAAAACAAUUUACUGGAAAAGGCACUUGAAAAGGCUGAAACGAUGCAAAACUAUUUGAAGGAUAAAGACAAUAUGACAGAGAGGAAAAUACAAGAGAUUGAGGGGCAAUUAUCUGCUGCAAUGAGAAGAGAGGAAAAAUCCAUCAAGGAAAAAGAUCAUCUGAAGACAGACAUUGUACAACAUGAGGUGAAGUAUGAAGAGCUAUCAGCAAGUCUCAAUCAGCUGCAACUUGAGAACAAGACUAUUCUGGAGACGAUGCAGAAUGAAUCCUCAGAGGCAACCAUUCUUGUAGCACGACUAAAAGAGAGGGAGGCAAAAUAGAUGAAGAUGAAGAAGGAAAUUGAAAGGCUCCAGGAGGAAAACCAUCAAUUAUGGAUUUCAAAUCCUCUCUAUGGGAAAGAAAAGGUACCGAAGCUACAGCUUUGAGCUACAGAGGCCGUCAAGAGUAAGGAAGAUGCUGAAGUCAAACGUCAGAACAAGACAGCAGACAUGGUUGCCGUGACGGAAAGCACAAGGUUAAGUUCUCUGUUGGCAUCAGAUCCACUAUGACGAAAUGGUUGACGAGAAAGAUGCAGAGCUUGAUGAUAAGAAGAGAGAAGACAUGGAGGCAGCUGCUAAUAGAACAUCACUGGAAUUGGAUCUGUCACAGCAGAACAUGGAAAAUGGCCAUUUGAAGGAACAACUGGAGAAAGAAAUGAAGGAGAGGGAAAGCUGACUACAGGAGAUUACAGGUCUGGAAAAAGAGACGGCAUGUCAGAAAAUGAGCAGGCAACUGCAGACACAGGAUAACCAGGAAAUGGAAAGCAAAGCCCCAAGAACUCCGUCUUGGAGCUCCAUAACAACAGUUAUAGCAACACCGCAAAUUAAGGAAAGCAAAGCUCUCAAAACUCCAUCUUGGCGUUCCCCAGUACAGCUGGCGCAACACCACGGAUUAAGUCUUACAGAAUCAGAACUCCUCCGUCCGCUGGGAAGUCUGUGCCCUGGGGGAAGAGUACCCUGGAGCUUGACCUGGGGGAAGAGUACCCUGGAUCUUGACCUGGGGGAGAGUACCCUGGAGCUUGACCUGGGGGAAGAGUACCCUGGAGCUUGACCUGGAGGAAGAGCACACUGGAGCUUGACCUGGGGGGAGAGCACACUGGAGCUUGACCUGGAGGAAGAGCACACUGGAGCUUGACCUGGAGGAAGGGCACACUGGAGCUUGACCUGGGGGA
Long non-coding RNA from Oncorhynchus tshawytscha (Chinook salmon), 1845 nucleotides. Lineage: Eukaryota; Metazoa; Chordata; Actinopteri; Salmoniformes; Salmonidae. The record is from Ensembl.